AGGAGAGUUUGAUCAUGGCUCAGAUUGAACGCUGGCGGCAGGCUUAACACAUGCAAGUCGAGCGGAAACGAUGAUAGCUUGCUAUCAGGCGUCGAGCGGCGGACGGGUGAGUAAUGCUUGGGAAUAUGCCUUUUGGUGGGGGACAACAGUUGGAAACGACUGCUAAUACCGCAUAAUGUCUGAGGACCAAAGCGGGGGACCUUCGGGCCUCGUGCCAAAAGAUUAGCCCAAGUGAGAUUAGCUAGUUGGUGGGGUAAAGGCCUACCAAGGCGACGAUCUCUAGCUGGUUUGAGAGGAUGAUCAGCCACACUGGGACUGAGACACGGCCCAGACUCCUACGGGAGGCAGCAGUGGGGAAUAUUGCACAAUGGGGGAAACCCUGAUGCAGCCAUGCCGCGUGUGUGAAGAAGGCCUUCGGGUUGUAAAGCACUUUCAGUGGGGAGGAAAGGAUAUAAGUUAAUACCUUAUAUCUGUGACGUUACCCACAGAAGAAGCACCGGCUAACUCCGUGCCAGCAGCCGCGGUAAUACGGAGGGUGCGAGCGUUAAUCGGAAUUACUGGGCGUAAAGCG
Molecule: ribosomal RNA, 571 nt
Filed under: uncultured bacterium
Lineage: Bacteria
Description: bacterial SSU rRNA
Rfam family: Bacterial small subunit ribosomal RNA
Source: RNAcentral